Long non-coding RNA from Clupea harengus (Atlantic herring), 1023 nucleotides. The record is from Ensembl. Lineage: Eukaryota; Metazoa; Chordata; Actinopteri; Clupeiformes; Clupeidae.
GGCAUUAUUUUUUGUAAAUGUGUUUGCUUGAACAUUCUAUUCAGAUUCCGAGGCUUCUUCACGCCUGGUGAAGUUGUGAAUCGCGAGCUCAUUAGGCAUACUAGCAUGUUAUAAAUAUCCUGGCCAUGGAUGCAUUAAUAAUUGCAUCUGUCUUUCAAAGAUGUCAGGUAAAAAACAAAUAAGCAUCCGGUCCUUCGCCCAAAGAGGAAAUUAGGCCCAGAGAAGGUCGUAAACACAUUAGAGGAGGAGAUGGUGGAAGAGGAAGAGACAGUACAGGUGGAAGAGGAAGAGACAGUGCAGGUGGAGGAGGAAGAGACAGUGCAGGUGGAGGAGGAGGAGACGGUGCAGGUGGAAGAGGAGGAGACGGUGGAAGAGAUGGUGGAAGAAACAGUGGAGGAGAUGGCUAGAACAAAAGGGAGAAAAGUCCCAGGAGCAGCCACCUACAAGACCUCUUUUAAUAGUGAAUGGACCUCUAAAUGGCCAUUUAUUACUGUAGGAAGCACCAGCAAAUAUUACUGGUGCUCUAUCUGCUGCCAAGAGAACUCCUGUGCCCAUCUAGGUGUGCGGGAUGUGACAAGGCACAUAGGCAGUAAGGGGCAUCAGGCCAAACAGCAGGCACUGAAGUCAACCAGCACAGUCAAAACUUUUACUUGCCAGUGACUGCAGAGAUGAGUGUGCAAGAGGUCAAGGUACAUUUAAAUCCAUAAGGUUGACUACAAUGUUCAUGAAUACCAUUUUUCCUAAUUAAUACAUCCAAUUCUAUGACUAUGGCAUAUAUAAUGGGAAUCAACACCAAAAAUGAUAAAAGAAUCCAAAAAGGCAACAAACACCUACAAUAAACAACACAAGUCAUAAUUCUCUCUCUCUCUCUCUCUCUCUCUCUCUUUCUCUCCCAAAUUGAAUAAAUACUUUGUAAUUGGUUGAAUUGUCAGUGCCAUGUGUCAAAUUUUUUCAGAAAGUCUGAGUAAUUAUUAACAACAACAAAACUAAUAAUAAUAUGGGGGGAGGGGCUGGUCUAUGGGC